CAGUCGCCGCGGUAAUACGUAGGUGGCAAGCGUUGCUCGGAAUUACUGGGCGUAAAGGGCGCGUAGGCGGACAGUUAAGUUGGGGGUGAAAGCCCGGGGCUCAACCUCGGAAUUGCCUUCAAUACUGGCUGUCUUGAGUACGGGAGAGGUGAGUGGAACUCCGAGUGUAGAGGUGAAAUUCGUAGAUAUUCGGAAGAACACCAGUGGCGAAGGCGACUCACUGGCCCGUUACUGACGCUGAGGCACGAAAGCGUGGGGAGCAAACAGGAUUAGAUACCCGGGUAGUCCCUGUCUCUUAUAC
RNAcentral lists this ribosomal RNA (301 nucleotides) under uncultured bacterium. Its description in RNAcentral is "partial 16S ribosomal RNA". It matches the Rfam family "Bacterial small subunit ribosomal RNA", at positions 509 to 807 of the family's 1533-position model. The record is from RNAcentral.